This 2908-nucleotide ribosomal RNA is filed under the name Staphylococcus aureus. RNAcentral describes it as "bacterial LSU rRNA". It matches the Rfam family "Bacterial large subunit ribosomal RNA". Lineage: Bacteria; Bacillati; Bacillota; Bacilli; Caryophanales; Staphylococcaceae. The record is from RNAcentral.
UUAAGGGCGCACGGUGGAUGCCUUGGCACUAGAAGCCGAUGAAGGACGUUACUAACGACGAUAUGCUUUGGGGAGCUGUAAGUAAGCUUUGAUCCAGAGAUUUCCGAAUGGGGAAACCCAGCAUGAGUUAUGUCAUGUUAUCGAUAUGUGAAUACAUAGCAUAUCAGAAGGCACACCCGGAGAACUGAAACAUCUUAGUACCCGGAGGAAGAGAAAGAAAAUUCGAUUCCCUUAGUAGCGGCGAGCGAAACGGGAAGAGCCCAAACCAACAAGCUUGCUUGUUGGGGUUGUAGGACACUCUAUACGGAGUUACAAAGGACGACAUUAGACGAAUCAUCUGGAAAGAUGAAUCAAAGAAGGUAAUAAUCCUGUAGUCGAAAAUGUUGUCUCUCUUGAGUGGAUCCUGAGUACGACGGAGCACGUGAAAUUCCGUCGGAAUCUGGGAGGACCAUCUCCUAAGGCUAAAUACUCUCUAGUGACCGAUAGUGAACCAGUACCGUGAGGGAAAGGUGAAAAGCACCCCGGAAGGGGAGUGAAAUAGAACCUGAAACCGUGUGCUUACAAGUAGUCAGAGCCCGUUAAUGGGUGAUGGCGUGCCUUUUGUAGAAUGAACCGGCGAGUUACGAUUUGAUGCAAGGUUAAGCAGUAAAUGUGGAGCCGUAGCGAAAGCGAGUCUGAAUAGGGCGUUUAGUAUUUGGUCGUAGACCCGAAACCAGGUGAUCUACCCUUGGUCAGGUUGAAGUUCAGGUAACACUGAAUGGAGGACCGAACCGACUUACGUUGAAAAGUGAGCGGAUGAACUGAGGGUAGCGGAGAAAUUCCAAUCGAACCUGGAGAUAGCUGGUUCUCUCCGAAAUAGCUUUAGGGCUAGCCUCAAGUGAUGAUUAUUGGAGGUAGAGCACUGUUUGGACGAGGGGCCCCUCUCGGGUUACCGAAUUCAGACAAACUCCGAAUGCCAAUUAAUUUAACUUGGGAGUCAGAACAUGGGUGAUAAGGUCCGUGUUCGAAAGGGAAACAGCCCAGACCACCAGCUAAGGUCCCAAAAUAUAUGUUAAGUGGAAAAGGAUGUGGCGUUGCCCAGACAACUAGGAUGUUGGCUUAGAAGCAGCCAUCAUUUAAAGAGUGCGUAAUAGCUCACUAGUCGAGUGACACUGCGCCGAAAAUGUACCGGGGCUAAACAUAUUACCGAAGCUGUGGAUUGUCCUUUGGACAAUGGUAGGAGAGCGUUCUAAGGGCGUUGAAGCAUGAUCGUAAGGACAUGUGGAGCGCUUAGAAGUGAGAAUGCCGGUGUGAGUAGCGAAAGACGGGUGAGAAUCCCGUCCACCGAUUGACUAAGGUUUCCAGAGGAAGGCUCGUCCGCUCUGGGUUAGUCGGGUCCUAAGCUGAGGCCGACAGGCGUAGGCGAUGGAUAACAGGUUGAUAUUCCUGUACCACCUAUAAUCGUUUUAAUCGAUGGGGGGACGCAGUAGGAUAGGCGAAGCGUGCGAUUGGAUUGCACGUCUAAGCAGUAAGGCUGAGUAUUAGGCAAAUCCGGUACUCAUUAAGGCUGAGCUGUGAUGGGGAGAAGACAUUGUGUCUUCGAGUCGUUGAUUUCACACUGCCGAGAAAAGCCUCUAGAUAGAAAAUAGGUGCCCGUACCGCAAACCGACACAGGUAGUCAAGAUGAGAAUUCUAAGGUGAGCGAGCGAACUCUCGUUAAGGAACUCGGCAAAAUGACCCCGUAACUUCGGGAGAAGGGGUGCUCUUUAGGGUUAACGCCCAGAAGAGCCGCAGUGAAUAGGCCCAAGCGACUGUUUAUCAAAAACACAGGUCUCUGCUAAACCGUAAGGUGAUGUAUAGGGGCUGACGCCUGCCCGGUGCUGGAAGGUUAAGAGGAGUGGUUAGCUUCUGCGAAGCUACGAAUCGAAGCCCCAGUAAACGGCGGCCGUAACUAUAACGGUCCUAAGGUAGCGAAAUUCCUUGUCGGGUAAGUUCCGACCCGCACGAAAGGCGUAACGAUUUGGGCACUGUCUCAACGAGAGACUCGGUGAAAUCAUAGUACCUGUGAAGAUGCAGGUUACCCGCGACAGGACGGAAAGACCCGUGGAGCUUUACUGUAGCCUGAUAUUGAAAUUCGGCACAGCUUGUACAGGAUAGGUAGGAGCCUUUGAAACGUGAGCGCUAGCUUACGUGGAGGCGCUGGUGGGAUACUACCCUAGCUGUGUUGGCUUUCUAACCCGCACCACUUAUCGUGGUGGGAGACAGUGUCAGGCGGGCAGUUUGACUGGGGCGGUCGCCUCCUAAAAGGUAACGGAGGCGCUCAAAGGUUCCCUCAGAAUGGUUGGAAAUCAUUCAUAGAGUGUAAAGGCAUAAGGGAGCUUGACUGCGAGACCUACAAGUCGAGCAGGGUCGAAAGACGGACUUAGUGAUCCGGUGGUUCCGUAUGGAAGGGCCAUCGCUCAACGGAUAAAAGCUACCCCGGGAUAACAGGCUUAUCUCCCCCAAGAGUUCACAUCGACGGGGAGGUUUGGCACCUCGAUGUCGGCUCAUCGCAUCCUGGGGCUGUAGUCGGUCCCAAGGGUUGGGCUGUUCGCCCAUUAAAGCGGUACGCGAGCUGGGUUCAGAACGUCGUGAGACAGUUCGGUCCCUAUCCGUCGUGGGCGUAGGAAAUUUGAGAGGAGCUGUCCUUAGUACGAGAGGACCGGGAUGGACAUACCUCUGGUGUACCAGUUGUCGUGCCAACGGCAUAGCUGGGUAGCUAUGUGUGGACGGGAUAAGUGCUGAAAGCAUCUAAGCAUGAAGCCCCCUCAAGAUGAGAUUUCCCAACUUCGGUUAUAAGAUCCCUCAAAGAUGAUGAGGUUAAUAGGUUCGAGGUGGAAGCAUGGUGACAUGUGGAGCUGACGAAUACUAAUCGAUCGAAGACUUAAUC